This is an unclassified non-coding RNA of Chelonoidis abingdonii (Abingdon island giant tortoise), 166 nucleotides long. Lineage: Eukaryota; Metazoa; Chordata; Testudines; Testudinidae. The record is from Ensembl.
GUGAAAGGUCCUGGAUUGACAAUGCUAAAUAAUUUAUCCACAGAAUAGAUAGCAGCACAGACAGCAUCAUUGCAAGCUUUCCCACAUGCUUUAGUACUUCCCAGAGGGACCACCUAUGUGGGCAAGAGGUAAUUCAGUCUCCAUGCCCAUUCAUUCCGUGGCCUUU